ACGAAGUCUGACGGAGCAACGCCGCGUGAGUGAUGAAGGUUUUCGGAUCGUAAAACUCUGUUGUUAGGGAAGAACAAGUAUCGGAGUAACUGCCGGUACCUUGACGGUACCUAACCAGAAAGCCACGGCUAACUACGUGCCAGCAGCCGCGGUAAUACGUAGGUGGCAAGCGUUGUCCGGAAUUAUUGGGCGUAAAGCGCGCGCAGGUGGUUCCUUAAGUCUGAUGUGAAAGCCCACGGCUCAACCGUGGAGGGUCAUUGGAAACUGGGGAACUUGAGUGCAGAAGAGGAAAGUGGAAUUCCAAGUGUAGCGGUGAAAUGCGUAGAGAUUUGGAGGAACACCAGUGGCGAAGGCGACUUUCUGGUCUGUAACUGACACUGAGGCGCGAAAGCGUGGGGAGCGAACAGGAUUAGAUACCCUGGUAGUCCACGCCGUAAACGAUGAGUGCUAAGUGUUAGAGGGUUUCCGCCCUUUAGUGCUGCAGCAAACGCAUUAAGCACUCCGCCUGGGGAGUACGACCGCAAGGUUGAAACUCAAAGGAAUUGACGGGGGCCCGCACAAGCGGUGGAGCAUGUGGUUUAAUUCGAAGCAACGCGAAGAACCUUACCAGGUCUUGACAUCCUCUGACAAUCCUAGAGAUAGGACGUUCCCCUUCGGGGGACAGAGUGACAGGUGGUGCAUGGUUGUCGUCAGCUCGUGUCGUGAGAUGUUGGGUUAAGUCCCGCAACGAGCGCAACCCUUGAUCUUAGUUGCCAGCAUUCAGUUGGGCACUCUAAGGUGACUGCCGGUGACAAACCGGAGGAAGGUGGGGAUGACGUCAAAUCAUCAUGCCCCUUAUGACCUGGGCUACACACGUGCUACAAUGG
This 866-nucleotide ribosomal RNA is filed under the name Priestia flexa. Its description in RNAcentral is "bacterial SSU rRNA". It matches the Rfam family "Bacterial small subunit ribosomal RNA", at positions 375 to 1233 of the family's 1533-position model. The record is from RNAcentral. Lineage: Bacteria; Bacillati; Bacillota; Bacilli; Caryophanales; Bacillaceae.